RNAcentral lists this ribosomal RNA (280 nucleotides) under uncultured soil bacterium. RNAcentral's name for it is "partial 16S ribosomal RNA". It matches the Rfam family "Bacterial small subunit ribosomal RNA", at positions 26 to 309 of the family's 1533-position model. The record is from RNAcentral.
AGGACGAACGCUGGCGGCGUGCUUAACACAUGCAAGUCGAGCGGUAAGGCCUUUCGGGGUACACGAGCGGCGAACGGGUGAGUAACACGUGGGUGAUCUGCCCUGCACUUCGGGAUAAGCCUGGGAAACUGGGUCUAAUACCGGAUAUGACCUCAGGUUGCAUGACUUGGGGUGGAAAGAUUUAUCGGUGCAGGAUGGGCCCGCGGCCUAUCAGCUUGUUGGUGGGGUAAUGGCCUACCAAGGCGACGACGGGUAGCCGGACCUGAGAGGGUGACCGGCC